This 400-nucleotide ribosomal RNA is filed under the name uncultured bacterium. RNAcentral's name for it is "bacterial SSU rRNA". It matches the Rfam family "Bacterial small subunit ribosomal RNA", at positions 32 to 410 of the family's 1533-position model. The record is from RNAcentral.
AAUCAACGCUGGCGGCGUGCCUCAGACAUGCAAGUCGAACGCGAAAGGUUCCUUCGGGAGCCGAGUAGAGUGGCGCUCGGGUGAGUAACACGUAGGUAAUUUGCCUUUGGGUGGGGAAUAACAAUCGGAAACGGUUGCUAAUACCGCAUAAUGCAGCGGCCCGACAUCGAGACAGUUGUUAAAGCGGGGGAUCCUUCGGGACCUCGCGCCUAAAGAGAAGCCUGCGGCGGAUUAGCUAGNGGUGAGGUAAUGGCUCACCAAGGCGACGAUCCGUAACCGGCCUGAGAGGGCGGACGGUCACACUGACACUUAAAUACGGGUCAGACUCCUACGGGAGGCAGCAGUCGGGAAUUUUGGGCAAUGGGCGAAAGCCUGACCCAGCAACGCCGCGUGAAGGAUG